Molecule: long non-coding RNA, 4856 nt
Filed under: Sus scrofa (pig)
Lineage: Eukaryota; Metazoa; Chordata; Mammalia; Artiodactyla; Suidae
Description: lncRNA (ENSSSCG00050063851.1)
Source: RNAcentral
AAGACUGGGAAAGUCAGGAUGGGCUUUUCUGCUUCAUUCCCUUAGGUCAGUCAGGGAACAGUGGUGUUGAUGCCCCAGCCCAGGGAGUCUGUGAUGUCCCCAGUUACCAGUCUUCCUUGGAUGACCCAAAAAGCAAAUUUCUCAAGGAGGAGAUAUACCUCAAGGUCUUGUUCUCGUUUGGCUUGAGUCAGGGAAAAACAUGAUCAGUCAGAUCAAAUUCCAAGAAUUUAAUUCUGUCUCCAUAAAACCAUCUAAGAUGUUUAAUAUUUUGGCAUCAGAAUGAAGUCUUCCACCUUGAUGUGGGUAGUGGUUCAUGGAUGUUGCCUUAAAAUAUCCUGGAAAUGAGAGUUCUUUUCAUGGCUCAGCAGAAAAUGAAUCUGACCAGUAUCCAUGAAGACACAGGUUCAAUCCCUGGCCUUGCUCAGUGAGUUAGGAAUCCACUGUGGCCAUGAGCUGUGGUGUAGGUUGCAGAUAUGGCUCGGAUCUGGCGUUGCUGUGGCUGUGGUGUAGGCCAGUGGCUGUAGCCCCGAUUCACCACCUAGCCUGGGAAUCUCCAUAUGCAGUGGUUACUGCCCUGAAAAGACAAAAUAAAUAAUAAAUAUCCUGGAAAUAGUACAUCGUGUGUGUGUGUGUAUACUAGAACAGUGCUUCUCAAACAUUCCCAUAUAUUUGAAUCAGGUUGUACCUCAGACCAACUAAAUGAGAAUCCCUUAGGCAUUGAUAUUUUUAAAGUUUCCCAGUUGGUUCCAAUACACUACCAGUUUGAGAACCAAAGUGCUAGAAGAAAGAGAUCUACUGGAAAACAAAACAAAACAAAAUGACAAUAACAGAUUUCAGCCCCAAUGAAGGCUUAUCUUUAAGAUCCUUUUUUUUUUUUUUAGCUCUGAGUUUCUAUGAUUAAAUAAAUAUUUGUUGCUUUACUAAAAGAAAAAUACAUCUGCCAGACUGUCUCUUGCACUUGACAGUUGAAGAAAUAUGAACAAACAAAAAAACCUUUGGUUCAGAAAACACAGUUUCUAGGCUGGAAACUUUGAGACUGGCCAAACACAAGUUCUGAGAAUUUCCCAAUUUUCCUAUGGUCUGGCCCUGUCUAGUCACAUGCAAACAUUCUUAGAUGUACAUCUGAUUUCUCCAGGGAAGGUACCCUGCCUCAGACCAGCAAAGACUAAAACAUAGAGGCCAGGUGGAAACCAGAUUCCCUGGCCGAGUAUUGAGUCCUGCCUGUUGCAUGUGCAUAGACGGAGGUCUGGGACUCGAUCUCAGCUGCUGGAGGCAUCAUUAAUUUCAAUUAGGUAGAAAGUCUUUGGAGUGGGUUGUUCCAGUGACAGUCAUUUCCGGAUGUCCUGCUUGCAUGUUUUUUUUUUCUUUUUUUCUCCCCCCAAGGAUACUGCUAAUGGAGUUUAAGGUCCUUUCAUCUCAACAGAGGCUUUAUUAAGUCUCCUCACGUCUCUAAGUACCUGUAGCUGCCCUGUUCCCUCUUAAUUCAUUUUCCAUGCCACAUUCAAGAGUAUUUGGAAUCUCCACAAGAACAAAUAAACCUCUGAACUCUGGUACACGUGUAAUCUGCCAAGGUCUACCCCACAACUCCAGACUGUCCCCAAGCACGGCUGAAACGACUUCAAAAAGCAUCAGUGUUUCUUGUAAUCCAUUUGCCAAAGACAAUGCACCAGAUGUGUCACGUUUCCUAUUUCAGCUGUGCCCGGCAUUGCUUUCCCUCCAGUAACUGGGCCAAGGGGUCAAGGGAGACUCUCAAGGUGACAGAUUUGUUAAAGAAAAAAAAUGCAGUCACUUUAGCCCCCAGGGCUCAGCACUAACCACUCCUUAUCGGCUUUCCUUUCUCAUCUUUAUUUUCACUCAGUGGAUGAGCGCAGACUUUGUGUACAGCAGAAAGCACAACUGAAAGUUCUGACAAAAUAGCUGUGUGACCUUGGGCCUCAGUGGCUGCUUCUGUGAAGUAGGUAACUCCUCAGCAGACUCUUAAGUUGCUCUGAUUCUAUUCUAAUAAGGAUGACAAAGUAAAAAUGAGGUUAUUUCUAUCACCGCAGGUACCCUUCUGAUUCAACCUCCUCUUGACAGCAAGCUUGUGGUCCUGAAGACAUGCAGACAGUUUUCCAAAUACUGGGCAGAGCCUAUCUCGGCUUUAUCAGGGAGACGGGGAGACCAAGGACUUGAGAGUUGCAUGCAGUGCCCCUUCCCCGCUUUCCAUGUAAUCUCAGGAACCAGAGACGCUAGGGACACGUCUCCCUCUCAUAAUUACUUGGGAAGGAGUGUCAUUGCCUCAAGCAUAAUUAACAGCAUUUUAAUUCAUUCUCUCUUUUUAGGUUCUUCACAUACUCGCUGUUGCAAGAAUGAGCACAGCAUUAUGGUCUGUUAACUUUUGAAAACGAGGCCAAAGAUGUCAGAUUCUGGCCAUCCCCAUAAAGAGUCUUGCUCUUGGCUUAAACAUGGGUUGGGGGAUCCGUUCUGUGGCUGUGAUGAGGAUGUGUAGGCUUGCUCCGGUCUUCUGCUCCCAAAUGAGAUACAAACAGCAUUUAGCUGUGCUUAUCCAGGGGAGCACCAACUGAUUAUGUGGCCAGCAAGAAAAGAUUCCAUAAAUAAACUGCCCACUGAAAAGUGACGCUGUCCCCCAGGAGACUGUGAUGGCCUGUUUGUGGGCUUGCCUGCUCUCCCCCAUCCUCCUUAUCCCUGGACCAGCACCUCUCCAUGGCAGCCAUACUCAACCUCUCCAGUCCAGUUUCAAUGAAGAGAAAAGGUUCCUGUGGAUUUGCUUGUGACAGACACUGCACACUGUUCCAGAAACUGGAAUGUGAUGAUCUUCUUUCUCAAAAUGGUUUCAACUCUCUUUCCCUCACUUAAAACCCACAAAGACACACACCCGUACACAUGCACCUGCACACGUCGACCUCACAGUAGCCACUAGUUCUGUCCAUCUUUUAAUUUCAUGCUCGAUGAUAAUGAGUUAUUUCAAACAGAGGCAGUAAAAUGUACAACUGACAUUGGUUGAAAUUUAGGGCAUCCUGCUUUCCUAUACAUUAUUCUUCACUUCUAAAAUAUUUAUAACCACUUAAAGAUGAUUUAUAGAUGUAUAUCUAGGAUUGUAUCCUGAUAAUAAGAGCUUUACAAAUAUAGUUUUAUUUCUCUGAGUGUAGAUAUAUUUGAUAGUAAUUAGAGACUAAAAUGUAGUAAAAAUAAUGUAUGUGUUAAUUAUGUAAUAUAAAUAUACAUGUAAUAUAUAUACAUAUACAUGUUGGCCAAAGCUCUACAAUGAGAGAUACCAUGUCAAAAAGCAGUAAACUGUCAGGAAUCUAUGAAUAUAAAUAGUUUUUAGCAAUAGCAUAUUAUCAAGGCAUUCUUAACUACAUUUGGCAUUUUUGGAGCAAGAAAAAUGCUGGGGUUUCAUUAAACUGCAGUGCAAAGGAAAUGGAGAAUUUGGAUCUUAUACUGGAAUGUCCUUGAAAUGAAUAGAUUUCAGAGAAAAGCUGAAAGGUUUGAUCAUGUAAAAUCGCUCCCCCCCAAAAAGAAAUCUCAAUUAAUUUUUAAGUGCCCAGAAAUUAACAGAAAAAUGUGGUUAAUAAUUAAGUAUAUUUUUAAAUGUCAUAUACAAUAUUAUUCAUGAUGAAAGUGAAGUUCAUAAAAGAUUCAUUUGUUUUCUUACUCAUGUAAAAUAGUGAGAUCAAAUAGAAAGUGAAAAACUAUUUUUGCGAUUUAUCUCAAUUGUGUACAUUGUUAUUUGAUCCUAGGAAAAUUACAGAUGAUAUUUAGUGAUUUACUGUUAGAAAAAUAUAUUUUUUUCAAUGAUGUCGGCUAAAGGUAUAUAGCAAAUUGAAAUUAUAAAUGAUUCUUAUUAUGAAACACCAAGGCAAUAUUUUUGCUGUAUUUUGGGUGCCAAGAUAUCACCCCAGGUACCUCAUUUAAGCCAGCCAAUCUGUGCUGUUCUCAGAAAAGAAGAAUGCAUUUCUGGGAAAUUCGCCAUUUGAAAUUCCAAUGGUUGCUUAUCCCCUUUUUAGGCUAAUGGUGCCAGUUGCUAAGAUAACAGGGCCUCUUGGCUGGCCAGAGGACGUAGCUCUUUCUCUGUGUUGCUGCAGGAUCAGGGAUCAACUUUGAGACACUCAUUGUCCUGGAAAAUUAGUGUAUUGUGAGCUUUCUCAAACUUGGCAUCCAAGAGGAUAAUCCGUAUUGCUUGUUUUUUGAUCCCAGGGUAGGUGCUGAUAACAGUUUUGAAGUCAGUGUGUGCUAUCUCCCAAGAUGCUCGUAUUGUAAAAACCUUGAGGUCUGGCUGGCUUGUAGGAAGACUUAGGGGAAGAAUUUCCUAAGACAAAGCCAAAGAAGUGGGGCUGGCUACAGCUUUUAGUCAUAUUUUUAUCCCCCACCCCCAAGCAUUCUUUCUCUUCCAACCCUAAUGAUAAGGUACAUUAAUUUAGGGGUAUGCUCUCUGUCUUUUUAUGCAUGCUUGGACUCUGUACUGGACCCCUGACGGUGAUGCUGAAAAUGCACUGUUAGAAAAGGAUCCCUUCAUUUUCAUGCCUGCACAGGAUGCCAGAUUUGUCCGGAAACAAAAUGGCUCACUGUCUGAAGAUGAGACUCUAUUAUAAACAACAGUUAGGAUACCAGAGGUCAUAUGUUUCGGGGAGUUCCCAUUGUGGCAUAGCAGAAACAAAUCCGACUAGGAACCACAAGGUUGCAGGUUCGAUCCCUGGCCUCACUCAAUGGGCUAAGGAUCCGACAUUGACAUGAGCUGUGGUGUAGGUCACAGAUGUGGCUCAGAUCCUGCGUUGCUGUGGCUGUGGCGUAGGCUGGCAGCUGUAGCUCCAAUUCGACCCCUAGCCUGGGAGCCUCCAUAAGCCAUGGGUGCAGCC